RNAcentral lists this transfer RNA (69 nucleotides) under Trachyrhamphus serratus. Its description in RNAcentral is "tRNA-Gly". Lineage: Eukaryota; Metazoa; Chordata; Actinopteri; Syngnathiformes; Syngnathidae. The record is from RNAcentral.
GUCUUUUUAAUAUAAAAAGUAUACGUGGCUUCCAACCACCCAGCCUUGGUUAAAACCCAAGAAAAGAUA